AACGAACGCUGGCGGCAUGCCUAACACAUGCAAGUCGAACGAGACCUUCGGGUCUAGUGGCGCACGGGUGCGUAACGCGUGGGAACCUGCCCUUAUGUUCGGCAUAACUCCCCGAAAGGGGUGCUAAUACCGGAUAAUGUCUUCGAACCAAAGAUUUAUCGCGAUUGGAUGGACGCGCGUUGGAUUAGGUGGUUGGUAGGGUAAAAGACUACUAAGGCGACGAUUCAUAGCUGGUCUGAGAGACUGAUCAGCCACACUGGGACUGAGACACGGCACGGACUCCUACGCGAGGCAGCAGUGGGGAAUAUUGGACAAUGGGCGAAAGCCUGAUCCAGCAAUGCCGCGUGAGUGAUGAAGUCCUUAGGGUUGUAAAGCUCUUUUAACCGGGAUGAUAAUGACAGUACCGGGAGAAUAAGCUCCGGCUAACUCCGUG
This 433-nucleotide ribosomal RNA is filed under the name uncultured bacterium. RNAcentral's name for it is "partial 16S ribosomal RNA". It matches the Rfam family "Bacterial small subunit ribosomal RNA", at positions 29 to 507 of the family's 1533-position model. The record is from RNAcentral.